CAGCGGAGGAAGAGGUCUGCAUGCCGGACAACCCCAAGAAGAAGUGACCACAAGAGUUUGGCAUAGUCGGCAGGAUACUUGGAUCGGAUCCUCGGGACAGCUCUGCAAAAUCUACGAUCCUGGUCGUGGGCGUAUCAGUGCUGGCAACAAGGUCGGGGAUCAUCACUGCUCAUCCCACACCGCAGGAGGAACUUUGGUACAGCACGUACAGUGCCGAAUGCGACACGCAAC
This is a long non-coding RNA of Carcharodon carcharias (great white shark), 231 nucleotides long. RefSeq lists it as uncharacterized. NCBI's taxonomy places the organism in Eukaryota, Metazoa, Chordata, Chondrichthyes, Lamniformes, Lamnidae. The record is from RefSeq and is a predicted model, not a curated record. The transcript has 3 exons.